UGGCCUUGACAUAGAAAGAAUUUAGCAGAGAUGUAAAAGUGCUAGUUUACUAGAGCUUUCAUACAGGUGCUGCACGGCUGUCGUCAGCUCGUGUCGUGAGAUGUUAGGUUAAGUCCUGCAACGAGCGCAACCCUCGUGUUUAGUUACUAACAGAUUAUGCUGAGGACUCUAGACAUACUGCCUGGGCAACCGGAGGAAGGUGGGGACGACGUCAAGUCAUCAUGGCCCUUAUGGCCAGGGCUACACACGUGCUACAAUGGGGUAUACAAAGAGCAGCAAUACGGUGACGUGGAGCGAAUCUCAAAAAUGCCUCCCAGUUCGGAUUGUAGUCUGCAACUCGACUACAUGAAGUUGGAAUCGCUAGUAAUCGUAGAUCAGCUAUGCUACGGUGAAUACGUUCCCGGGUCU
Molecule: ribosomal RNA, 408 nt
Filed under: uncultured bacterium
Lineage: Bacteria
Description: bacterial SSU rRNA
Rfam family: Bacterial small subunit ribosomal RNA
Source: RNAcentral